GAGUUACAAAGGACGACAUUAGACGAAUCAUCUGGAAAGAUGAAUCAAAGAAGGUAAUAAUCCUGUAGUCGAAAAUGUUGUCUCUCUUGAGUGGAUCCUGAGUACGACGGAGCACGUGAAAUUCCGUCGGAAUCUGGGAGGACCAUCUCCUAAGGCUAAAUACUCUCUAGUGACCGAUAGUGAACCAGUACCGUGAGGGAAAGGUGAAAAGCACCCCGGAAGGGGAGUGAAAUAGAACCUGAAACCGUGUGCUUACAAGUAGUCAGAGCCCGUUAAUGGGUGAUGGCGUGCCUUUUGUAGAAUGAACCGGCGAGUUACGAUUUGAUGCAAGGUUAAGCAGUAAAUGUGGAGCCGUAGCGAAAGCGAGUCUGAAUAGGGCGUUUAGUAUUUGGUCGUAGACCCGAAACCAGGUGAUCUACCCUUGGUCAGGUUGAAGUUCAGGUAACACUGAAUGGAGGACCGAACCGACUUACGUUGAAAAGUGAGCGGAUGAACUGAGGGUAGCGGAGAAAUUCCAAUCGAACCUGGAGAUAGCUGGUUCUCUCCGAAAUAGCUUUAGGGCUAGCCUCAAGUGAUGAUUAUUGGAGGUAGAGCACUGUUUGGACGAGGGGCCCCUCUCGGGUUACCGAAUUCAGACAAACUCCGAAUGCCAAUUAAUUUAACUUGGGAGUCAGAACAUGGGUGAUAAGGUCCGUGUUCGAAAGGGAAACAGCCCAGACCACCAGCUAAGG
This 731-nucleotide ribosomal RNA is filed under the name Staphylococcus aureus. Its description in RNAcentral is "partial 23S ribosomal RNA". It matches the Rfam family "Bacterial large subunit ribosomal RNA", at positions 311 to 1044 of the family's 2925-position model. The record is from RNAcentral. Lineage: Bacteria; Bacillati; Bacillota; Bacilli; Caryophanales; Staphylococcaceae.